GACGAACGCUGGCGGCGUGCUUAACACAUGCAAGUCGAACGGAAAGGCCCUGCUUUUGUGGGGUGCUCGAGUGGCGAACGGGUGAGUAACACGUGAGUAACCUGCCCUCGACUUUGGGAUAACUUCAGGAAACUGGGGCUAAUACCGGAUAGGAGCUCCUGCUGCAUGGUGGGGGUUGGAAAGUUUCGGCGGUUGGGGAUGGACUCGCGGCUUAUCAGCUUGUUGGUGGGGUAGUGGCUUACCAAGGCUUUGACGGGUAGCCGGCCUGAGAGGGUGACCGGCCACAUUGGGGCUGAGAUACGGCCCAGACUCCUACGGGAGGCAGCAGUGGGGAAUAUUGCACAAUGGGCGGAAGCCUGAUGCAGCAACGCCGCGUGCGGGAUGACGGCCUUCGGGUUGUAAACCGCUUUCGCCUGUGACGAAGCGUGAGUGACGGUAAUGGGUAAAGAAGCACCGGCUAACUACGUG
This 468-nucleotide ribosomal RNA is filed under the name uncultured bacterium. Its description in RNAcentral is "partial 16S ribosomal RNA". It matches the Rfam family "Bacterial small subunit ribosomal RNA", at positions 28 to 507 of the family's 1533-position model. The record is from RNAcentral.